RNAcentral lists this long non-coding RNA (731 nucleotides) under Ananas comosus (pineapple). RNAcentral describes it as "long non-coding RNA (ACOM_LNC008785)". Lineage: Eukaryota; Viridiplantae; Streptophyta; Magnoliopsida; Poales; Bromeliaceae. The record is from RNAcentral.
AAAAAUAGGUCUUUUUUUGUUCAAAGUUUUACAAAAUUGUGUACAAGAUGUGCGAUCACUACAACAGAAUUAGGUUAUAGGGACACAUGUUUGGAACACUUUUGUAUAAGAGUCAUAUUUAUGCCAAAACUUAAAAAAAAACCUACUAAUGCCUAAAUAUAAAGUCUAAUCCAAUCAAAAAUAAAAGGGUACUCUACUCAACCCACCCCACCCAGCCCAUUCGGCCUGAUUACACACAGAAAAGUAAAAUAAAAGAAAAAGGAAAGAAAAAUCGAUUACCAUUCCCCUUCUCCUCUCACUCAAUCGACUGAAAUUCUAGACGAAGAUCCCUUCCUCUCGUCCUCCUCCGCCACCGCAGCCAACGAGGUAGAGUUCCGGUGGUUGCUAGAUGCUUAAAUAAAUAUUGGUAAAUUAGCAGCACUCUUUUAUAUUAUAGCGACACUCUUUAAUUGUCACUAUAUACCUAGCGACCCCACAUAUACCAACACUUUUUAAAAGUGUCGGUAAUUUAGCCAGCACCACUUAUUUUGACUCAUACCGACAUUUAAAAGUGUCGCUAUAGACCGUUUUUAUUGUAGUGGAUUAAAACCACUGUUUAAUCAAUAACUUAGCUUGCCGAGUGAUUCCUAUUAAAUUAUUUGGUAAAGUUUAGAAUGUUCAAUUGUGAAAAUUAAAAGUUUUGAGUUUUUAUUUGAAGAAGGUGUUAAAGUUGGGGGGUUCUUUGUAAACUU